Molecule: long non-coding RNA, 358 nt
Filed under: Elaeis guineensis (African oil palm)
Lineage: Eukaryota; Viridiplantae; Streptophyta; Magnoliopsida; Arecales; Arecaceae
Description: long non-coding RNA (EGUI_LNC002763)
Source: RNAcentral
CAUUCCUACGUAUCAUUUUAUUUGUCUUUGAAUAUUCGUACAUACAGAAAAUUUAGUGGGUUAUUUCCAGUGUUGCAAUUCGUGACGACUAAUUCUUUUCUUUAUCAUUUUUUUUGGAGAGGAAAUUCUUCUUAGCAUCAUUACGCGAGCAAUCUGUACUGCAAGUUUGGCAAUCUUCUCUACGACCUUGAUGCCUUCCAGCUGCUACAGAAAUGUUCGUGUGCAAGCUCCAAGAAACCAGGUCACCAAAUAGAUGGCUUUAAGUAUGCAUAAAAGCUGUGGCUUCAGACCUGUAGUCCUUUCUAGAGGCACCAAAAUUCAUUUAUUAGUUUAAACUAUCGCAUAGAGAGAAGUUUGA